AGAGGACGGGGAUCGACGGCCGGGCUCGGACCCCAUGAUAAAUGUUUUCGGGGGGUGGGACCCGAGACUCGAGCCCGUGUCCUCCGGGGUGGAAGGCUGAAGCGUUUCCGUGUGGCCAGUCCGGCCGACUGAUAACAAAUAUUUCAAAAACAUUUUGAUAAAAUUAAUAGUGGAAAUAAUUGAAUAUGGUUUAUCGAAAAUUAUCUUUUAUUUAGUAUAAUAAGAAUGAUAACAUGAAAGGAUGUAGAAUUGAACUAAACUACUUCAUUAAUAGUGUUUUAAUAUUAAAUAAUGCACUAAAUACAGUGCAUUACACCUUUUAGAUAAGGAAGACAAUCUAGAGACUAUGGUCCGAUUACAGGAAUGCGGUUUACAACUGCUGCCGGGGCUUAUGCCUCAAAUUUUACAAAAUUAAAUAACAGAAACGAAGUUUACUUUUCGCCGCCGUCUAAACAUCCUGUGAAAAGCAAGUAUUUUAAGCUGUGAUUUAGGUAUCGCCAUAUUCUUUUCUAAUCUUCGGCGAAAAGUGUAUCAUGCGUAGUUUAUUCUACAAACGGAAGAGAAGUCGCUAGUUUUUUGCUGCUUCAUUAUAAAAGAAUGGAUAUUUUACAAAUUAUCCAUGUUUGCAACUUUAUGAGUAGACAUUAUUAGAGAAGCGAAAAGUAGAUAUUAAGAGUUAUGUCAUUGAAAUAUGAGCGAAAUCCAUUAGAAAUUUCUUUCGAUGACGAAUUUCAUAGUAGUAACAGAUCUUUUUAUGAAGGAUUUCACGUUAAUACAAUUGCAUGCACUACAACACCCAGCAAAAACUGGUUCCAAUCAAUAAUGGGAGUCGAGUCGCAAAAUAUUCUUAAUGAAUUAGGGGUCACAGAUCAGAGAACGAGAUAUGAUAUAUGAAGCUGAACGAGAUACGAGAUGUAGAACUAAACGUGAUAUACGAGAUACAGAGGCUGAAAGUUUCACAGUGUAUAAUAAAGUUUGACACUGUGCUUCACCUCGCUACGAUGCACAGUACUGCGUCCUGUUCCCGUGGUUAUGCUAUCUAAAGGCGUGUAUAUCUUGUUAAGAUAGGUGUCAAAUGUCAAAUAUUAACAACAUAUACACGCCUCUAGGUAGCAUAGCAAAAGAGAAAGAGAUAAACCUGUGAAAUUUGACUGCAUAUAUAAAAAUAAAUAAUAAAUGAAAAAUUCUUAUUAGUAAGAACAUGGUUUAGAAAAAAUUUUAGUUAUAAAGUUUAAAAUACAUUCGAAUGAAUUUUUUUCUACAUUUAAUUUCAGAAGUAC
This 1280-nucleotide long non-coding RNA is filed under the name Androctonus crassicauda. The record is from RNAcentral. Lineage: Eukaryota; Metazoa; Arthropoda; Arachnida; Scorpiones; Buthidae.